RNAcentral lists this ribosomal RNA (406 nucleotides) under uncultured delta proteobacterium. RNAcentral describes it as "bacterial SSU rRNA". It matches the Rfam family "Bacterial small subunit ribosomal RNA", at positions 9 to 418 of the family's 1533-position model. Lineage: Bacteria; Deltaproteobacteria. The record is from RNAcentral.
GAGUUUGAUCAUGGCUCAGAACGAACGCUGGCGGCGCGCCUAACACAUGCAAGUCGAGCGAUUAAACCCUUCGGGGAUAUAAAGCGGCGGACGGGUGGGUAAGGCAUAGGUAAUCUGCUCCUUAGUGGGGGACAACAGGCCGAAAGGCUUGCUAAUACCGCAUAAGUUGCCUGGGUGAAUACCAGUCAAUAAAGGCUUCGGUCGCUUUGGAAUGAGCCUAUGUAGGAUUAGGUAGUUGGUGAGGUAAAAGCUCACCAAGCCGACGAUCCUUAGCUGGUCUGAGAGGAUGAUCAGCCACACUGGAACUGAGACACGGUCCAGACUCCUACGGGAGGCAGCAGUGAGGAAUUUUGCGCAAUGGGGCGAAAGCCUGACGCAGCGACGCCGCGUGGAGGAUGAAGUCCUU